Molecule: ribosomal RNA, 255 nt
Filed under: uncultured bacterium
Lineage: Bacteria
Description: partial 16S ribosomal RNA
Rfam family: Bacterial small subunit ribosomal RNA
Source: RNAcentral
UACGUAGGCAGCGAGCGUUGUUCGGAGUUACUGGGCGUAAAGGGUGUGUAGGCGGUUGUUUAAGUUUGGUGUGAAAUCUCCCGGCUCAACUGGGAGGGUGCGCCGAAUACUGAAUGACUUCGAGUGCGGGAGAGGAGAGUGGAAUUCCUGGUGUAGCGGUGAAAUGCGUAGAUAUCAGGAGGAACACCGGUGGUGUAGACGGCUCUCUGGACCGUAACUGACGCUGAGACACGAAAAGCGUGGGUAGCAAACAGG